Long non-coding RNA from Vicia villosa (hairy vetch), 1293 nucleotides. RefSeq lists it as uncharacterized. The record is from RefSeq and is a predicted model, not a curated record. The transcript has 3 exons. Lineage: Eukaryota; Viridiplantae; Streptophyta; Magnoliopsida; Fabales; Fabaceae.
UCCCAUUCCAUGCCAAAUGCUCGCUUCCCAUUGGUCAGAUUAGAAUCACUUUUCCCUCCCCCCAAAACACUGAACUAUACGACUGCAUCUAUACAUCCAUUCCUACGUUCUCUCACCAUUGUGAAUCUCAACCAAACUAAUCUUAUUUUCUAUCUCCUAGUUCAAACGAAAGAGGUUUUGAAAUCUUGCUCUCCUGCCACUCAGGUUUGCCUCUGUUUUCGGGAAAUGCUUUGGAGUGGAGGUUGAGACAUCAAGUUUUGAUGUCAUAGGUGUGUUAUUUUCCAGAUCUGCGUAUACACUUUUCCAGAUCUGCAAGGUGAAGGUGUGUUAUUUUAUUUGAUUUGUUUUUUAUUUUGUCUUUCCUGUUUUUGUUUUGUGCUUUUGAUUUGUUCUUUGAUCCAACUCUUAGAUGUUUGGGUUUAUGAUUUGUUCUAUGUUCCAACUCUACAGUGUUAUUGUUAUUUUUAGUUGCUUUUGUUUCAAUUUCUUUUAUUUUAUUUAUUUAUUUAUUUAAUUCUUUUACUAACUUUAUGUUGUUUUUGUUUUAUAGUUUGUUAUAUGUUCUAACAUUGUCUUUGCAUUUCAACUAAACCAUCUAAGAGUUAAUAUCAGGUGAUUUAUUCUCACUUUAGUAUCAUUUUCAUUUUUAGACUCAGUAUGUUUCUAUGUCUGAGAGUGGAUUUCUACAAACAGAGUAUGGAUAGUGAACUUGCCUCCCAUUUACAAUUGAUUGCUAAUAUAAAAAAAUCAUGUAUAUUUUACUUCUCAUGUUCACUUCUAAUAACAAAUUAUGAGUAUUUAGAAUUUAUAUCAAGUAUUUGUUUUAAUUGUCCACUUUAUCUGAUUUUUUAAAACUGAAAGAGUCAAAUUAAGGUACUGUGAUGGAGCAGCUUUUACGGGAGAUAGUGAAAAUGAGGAUGCACGGCUUCAAUGUCAAGGACAAAAAAUAUGGCUAGCUGCAAUAGAGGAGGUGUCAGCGUGAUCUUAUGCUGAUAUGGUGCGUGUUUCUGUUUUUAUGCAUUCUACUUUGAAACCGAUAUAAUAGUGCUUAUGUAUCUCUGUGCAACUGCAAAUCCCGAUGGCCAAAAGCAAGCCCUUGUGAUCGGAGGAGGAAUUGCUAACUUCAUUAAUAUUGAUCCAGAAAACAAAACAGAAGACUGUGUUCAUUCACUUGCUUGAUUUAUGACAAUAUAUAUCUUCUGACUUUUGGUUUCCGCUGUAAGUUAAGAACGUAUCUGCCACCGUUAAUUUGUUCCUACUUUGAUGAAAAUGUUUUGAUUCAUCACAUCAUUA